RNAcentral lists this transfer RNA (86 nucleotides) under Felis catus (domestic cat). It matches the Rfam family "tRNA". Rfam says of the family: Transfer RNA (tRNA) molecules are approximately 80 nucleotides in length. The record is from Rfam by way of RNAcentral. Lineage: Eukaryota; Metazoa; Chordata; Mammalia; Carnivora; Felidae. RNAcentral also lists the same sequence under 5 other names.
GCCUGGGUGGCUAAGUCAGUUGAGUGUCUGACUUCGGCUCAGGUCAUGAUCUCACCGGUUCAUGGGUUUGAGCCCCAUUUUGGGCU